Molecule: ribosomal RNA, 498 nt
Filed under: uncultured bacterium
Lineage: Bacteria
Description: partial 16S ribosomal RNA
Rfam family: Bacterial small subunit ribosomal RNA
Source: RNAcentral
AUUGAACGCUGGCGGCAUGCCUUACACAUGCAAGUCGAACGGUAACAGGUCUUCGGAUGCUGACGAGUGGCGAACGGGUGAGUAAUACAUCGGAACGUGCCUAGUAGUGGGGGAUAACUACUCGAAAGAGUGGCUAAUACCGCAUGAGAUCUACGGAUGAAAGGAGGGGAUCGCAAGACCUUGUGCUACUAUAGCGGCCGAUGGCAGAUUAGGUAGUUGGUGGGAUAAAAGCUUACCAAGCCGACGAUCUGUAGCUGGUCUGAGAGGACGAUCAGCCACACUGGGACUGAGACACGGCCCAGACUCCUACGGGAGGCAGCAGUGGGGAAUUUUGGACAAUGGGCGCAAGCCUGAUCCAGCAAUGCCGCGUGCAGGAUGAAGGCCUUCGGGUUGUAAACUGCUUUUGUACGGAACGAAAAGCCCCGGGUUAAUACCCUGGGGUCAUGACGGUACCGUAAGAAUAAGCACCGGCUAACUACGUGCCAGCCGCCGCAGUAA